GAUGAACGCUGGCGGCGUGCCUAAUACAUGCAAGUCGAGCGAACAGACGAGGAGCUUGCUCCUCUGGCGUUAGCGGCGGACGGGUGAGUAACACGUGGAUAACCUACCUAUAAGACUGGGAUAACUUCGGGAAACCGGAGCUAAUACCGGAUAAUAUAUUGAACCGCAUGGUUCAAUAGUGAAAGACGGUUUUGCUGUCACUUAUAGAUGGAUCCGCGCCGCAUUAGCUAGUUGGUAAGGUAACGGCUUACCAAGGCAACGAUGCGUAGCUGACCUGAGAGGGUGAUCGGCCACACUGGAACUGAGACACGGUCCAGACUCCUACGGGAGGCAGCAGUAGGGAAUCUUCCGCAAUGGGCGAAAGCCUGACGGAGCAACGCCGCGUGAGUGAUGAAGGUCUUCGGAUCGUAAAACUCUGUUAUUAGGGAAGAACAAAUGUGUAAGUAACUAUGCACGUCUUGACGGUACCUAAUCAGAAAGCCACGGCUAACUACGUG
RNAcentral lists this ribosomal RNA (497 nucleotides) under uncultured bacterium. RNAcentral's name for it is "partial 16S ribosomal RNA". It matches the Rfam family "Bacterial small subunit ribosomal RNA", at positions 28 to 507 of the family's 1533-position model. The record is from RNAcentral.